Molecule: non-coding RNA, 6863 nt
Organism: Chrysemys picta bellii (western painted turtle)
Lineage: Eukaryota; Metazoa; Chordata; Testudines; Emydidae
Source: RefSeq, a predicted model, not a curated record
GCCCUCACCCCCCCACCCCUGCACCCUAACUCUCAAUUUUGUGAGCAUUCGUGGCCUGCCAUGAUUUCCAUACCCAGAUGUGGCUCUCAGGCCAAGAAGUUUCCCCACCCCUGGCUCUGCCCUUGAAUAAUCUGCAAUUAAUUCUGCCCUGUGUGAUAUCAUACAAAAAUCAUAUGUCUCAUCCCUCUCUGCCAAAGCCUGAAUAACGUCCAACACAUGACCUUCUUGAUAGAUAUUUAUUUUACAGUUAAAUAAAUCAGGUGGAUCUAAUUUCCUGUUCACAUGGACACAUGUUUGUCCAGUCUGAUAUCUGCCUGCAUAUUUCUGUGGCUUCUUCCCUCUCCCCCAAGAGGUUCCUAUGACGUCAUUUCGGUGCAAGAUGAUGACACUUAGACCAUUAGUCAGCAAAACACAUGAGCACAUGCCUAUGAUUUUCAUGAACUGGGGCCCAGCACUUUGCAGGAUAAGGUCCUUUCUGUACAAAGAAAUUCAUUGCCGUACUUAAAGUGAACCACCACUUCUAAACAUGUUUAUAUUUUGAAAACAAAUACCACAAUAAUGCCACUUUCUGUUAUUGCAGUGAAAGCUGGAGAAACAAUGUUUGUUUACAGCCAGCACCCUACUGCAUUUUUAUCCCUAGAAGGAAAAGUCCAGAAAUAAUCCAACGUUAUGUUUAAAAUACUCAUAUUUAAACAUACAAGCAAUAUAGACCAAAUACAUGAUUCCCCCUCUCCCUUCCCCUCCCCCUCCCAGUUUUGAAAUGACUCAUCUGACUUGCACUGAUUUUUAACUAUGCCUCUCCUCCCUGCUGGCCCUUUACAGGUGCACACAUCUUGUGGUGGCUGGGUGUCACCUUCUCCUGCAUCAUCUUCUUUCAGAUAGCAGCAUCCAGGAACUCUGGAGAAUGGGAAAAGGGAGAGCUUCUAAAUAGCUGUGUGUUACCAGGAGAAUAGAUGCAGCAGGCAGGCUCCCCCGUCGACUUUGCGGUACUCCUCUCGCCGAGACAAAACGUGAUAAGUCGAACCCAGAAGUUUGAUUUGCUUGCCGCAGAACUACCGGGUAGUGUAGAUCUACCCUUAUGGUAACAUAAGAAUCACUAAAAUGAUGCACAAUGAAGUAAAAUGUCAAAUUAAUAUUUUUAUAUGUAAUAGGUGGGAAAACAUGUUAAUGUUUAUAAUCAUUAGAAAUACAUCAACCAGCCAGCAAACGUAGGCAGAGCUGAUAGCCAAUUUUUGAAAUAGACCCAUUAACUUUAUUUUAGGUUACAGCACCUUGUACUACCUUGUUUGCUGCUCCUGUCAGAGCUCACAAGCUAAGUAUGGUUGGGCAGGGUCAAGUCUUGGACGACACCCAUUCACUCAAGGACUAUGUGCCACUGGAAGUGAUGUAUAUGAUCUAGCAGGUGGCACUCUUCCCUCCAAAUCAAUGCUGAACCGGUACCUCAGCCUCCACAUCUGUAAAAUGAGAAUAACACUUGCAAUUAACUAUCUCACAAGGCUAUAAGUGACACCUGUUGCAGUGGCAGUCUUUCAGGUGAACAGAGGUAAUCAGGGCAGAGGUCACUUAAAAAUCUUAUGGCUCUUUUCAGAAAAAGACUUGGGCUGUUGCUUGGUGUCAUGGCCAAAUUCCAGGUCAAGUAACAACUUGCUGCUCAAUUAAAUUCUCUGUGCUGUCUCAGCAAGAAAAGGACAUGAAGAAUACACUUUCAAAAGUUCAUAGUAUUGGCAUGAUGUGAGCUGUUAAACAGUUUCUUAUUCUGCCCUGUUCCCAGAAGCAACUGCAUUUCAAAAGUAGAUACAGGGAUCCUUGUGUGUAAGUUUGUAAAGUGCUAGGGAAUACUUUGGGAUGAAAGAUGCUAUAUCAAAAGUAAUAUCACUGCAUCAUUCAAACUUCCAACUGACAUCCCGUGGGGUUAUUUCUAAUUCUUACUGGAUUACUUUGAUCAGAGUAGGGGCCGGGGAGUCAGAUUCUGGCUUUGCCACUGACUGACUUUGUGACCUUGGGCAAAUGACUGUACCUGCUCUGUGCCUUAUUAUCCUCAUUUGUAAACUGGAGAUAAUACCUGCCAUAAAGGGGUGUUGGAUAGCCUCUGUGUAAUGCACCCCCACCAGUAUGCAGCCUAGUGCAUGGGACAUGCCUCGAGCAGUGAGUAUGUCAGUGUAAAAGGUAUUUUUUCUUUUGCUCUCAUUGUUAAGACUCUGCUGUAGUCUAGAAAACUACAAAUACCCAAUGGACCAAGAAUUGCAUGGGAUAUUGUCAUUUUAACUUUUAAAAACCCAAACCCAACAAAAUACAACCCGUGGCUUUUGAUUCUUCCCUCCCCUGUGGAUAGGCCCCUGGCAGGUUAACUGGCACACAGGUCACAGCAUUUGUAUUGAUAUGUUAAACAAGCCAAAUAAUGACAAGUCUAUCUUUGGAAAGCUUUGAGAAGAAAUUACAUAGCUUGAUAACCAGUAUAAAGUUUAGCUCACAGUCACUAUAGUUAAAAGUGAAGCUAGAGCAAACAGACAAGAGAACCUAUAUUAUAUAUUUAGCAAUGAAGUGCUGCUACACUUCAACUAGUUGUCACAACAAAGUUUUGUUGAUAAACGGUAGCUCUGUACAACUGCCAAAUUAAACUCGGGUGCUUGCCUGGAUUGGGAGUUGACUCAUUACUCAGAUAAAAUUAUUAAUAGUUUCUGAAUAAAAUCAUUCAGAGCAUAUAGUAAGAACUGCCAAAGAGGAGUCUUAUUGAUUUUUCAACAGUUAUUCACCAUGGUAAGCGGAUUUGUGUCUGCAUGCAAACUUUUUUUUAUCCAAUGUAAAAUGUCUACAAAUCCUACCAUCUGAUUACUUUCAGAUUAUAUGCCCAAGAAUGCAGGCCCAUAUCCGUAUUGUGUAUAGCAACAGGAAAGGAGUGCUAAUUCAGCAGCACCGUGAAUGGUAAAGACAUGCUAUAAAUACACCUAACAUAUAAAGAAUAAAGCAAGCAACAGUAUUCUGAACACGAUGCCUUUGGGAAUUAUGUGGAAAGGAAAACUUGCAUAAAUGUGUGAGCACAUAUCUCUCUGUGUGUGUUAAUAUACUUUGUUAUGCUGGGAAUUGGGUGAAACCUCAUUGACGUUGGUGGGCCCAACAAUCGCCCUUGAUUCAGGAUAAAGUUAGAAAGUAAUUAAGCUCCUUUAUGGAAUAGAUAGCUGAAGCAAUAGGAGCCACUGUUGAAAACAUAAGCCACAUGUAAGGCUGGAGUAAGAGUGGAGCCAUGCGUUCUGAGGGUUUUCCCUGGGGUCUGAAUGAAAACACAAGGGGCUGGGUAUUGUUUGAUGGAGGCCAGAGAACCACUUGAGGCCACUAGAGCCUGACUUUCAGAGGAACUGUUAUAUUGUGGGCCUUUCAUAAAGGGUUGCAUGCUGAGCUAAUCAGAAGGGAUUUUAAUAGGUGAAUAUUAAGAAAAAAACUGUCAUCACAAUUAAUUAGUUUUUCCGUUCAGAAAGAUUCUGGUUCCCUUUCUCCAGCAGCCUUGAUGCUGAACUGACUACCUGGCAGAGAGGUAUUUCGUGUUUAAUCUCAAUGUUGUUAGCCAUGCAGGGUGAGGGUGAAAUCCACAUAUGAAGCAGGAGUUUACCACAGAAAGGGAAGUCCUUUGAUUUGGCCUGAGAGGUUAACUACCUAUUUUACCAGGAGAAGAAACGACAGGCAGCACCUCACCCACUGUCAGAGGUUUUCCUAUCACUGAUACAAGGAGCCUGCUCCAAUAGUCCCUGAACUCAGUGAAAAGAUUCUCAUGGACUUGAAUGGAUGUUGGAACAGGGCCAAAAUGAGGAUUUAAUUUAUAAAGCAGUGCGACUUAGUUGAACAGCUUUUCAGACCCAGCAGUUAGAAAAAGGAAUUUUAAGGGUAACUUGAUGAGGAAAGCCAACAAGGAGUGACAGAGGUCGCAGUGGAUGUGAGGUUUCUGAGGAUCUGCAGGGAAGGAUUCUCAGCUCCUUAGAGGCAAGUCUGCAUGAACAACUGAUGCUGCUUCUGCUGUGCUGAACCCCCAACUCCACCUUCCCCCCUGGAGGGCAGCCAGAAGAGAAUGGAAUCAGCCAGGAAUGGAGAGAGCAGCUUGCUUGAACUUACUCCUGCAGCUGAAGCACAUUCAAGCCCGUCAAGCAGUUUAACAGGAAAAACCACUGAGCCUGAAACUUCUGAGAUGGUGUCCUGGAAUAGAACAUGUGGGCAAAACAAUGGGGACUAUAUGGUGGCAGGACCCAAUCCCGCACUGCGCGCAGUGUGAAAGUGCAACACACCUUCAAGGGGAGUUCUUGAAAGUAUUGUUCCUUAGGAAGGCAGAAUACACACUAGAACUUCCAGAGAACACAGCAACUGCACUUUCCUUACAAAGUGUUCUGUGACAUGACAAAUCUCCUGUGUGCCUCAGUCUGGGUGACUGUCAAGAAUAAUAACCUUUGCUUACCUCACUAAGAAGAGCAUCACCUCCCCUGAGGCUGACUGGCCUUCUGUCACUGGCAGAAACUGAUGCUGAAUUCCUAGAAUGUACAUAGGAGGAGCCUUUACAUCUUGAGAUUGAUCAUCUUGAGACUGAUAACCAUGCACUUCAGGGAAAAAGCAUUUGCUCUGCAAAGAAAUUUCAUCCUCUGCCUCACCACAAGAUUCUGCCCAGGCUGCAGCAGCAGUGGUGACUCCUCCUACCUGUGUUUUCCCCCACCCCCCCAAAGGCUUUCCAGUAAAGGUAACAGCUAACAGGCUGAGGAAACCUCACGGCCAUUUCCUGUACGUGAAGCUUCUGUGUACAAUCUCAUGUGUCGAGUGAUACGUCAAUGCCCUCAGCUGGAUGGAUUAUCAGAUCAAUUCAAGUGCUGAUCAGUUUGCUAAACUAUAUGAUGAUGGAGCCCUGAGAAGAGGUUUAAGCCCUAAUACUACUGACAAGUAAUGGAGAGUCAUCUUCUUCCUUUUUUUCCCUUUUUUUCAUUUUUUUAGUACUUGAAAACAGUACUGGAUACUCAACAUUGGUGAUAUUGAAGUCUUAAUUAUCUGAGGAUGGGUACAGAAGAUGGAAAGCUCCAUUACACCACCCCACCAAUGCUAAGUGGAGGUUGAAGGGACAAUUAAAUCUCCAUGCCCUCUGUUCAGACUUUGGCUGCUCUUGAGUUUGAAAAUGAGGGUGCUAAUGUCAAUGCUAAGUUUUGUGAUAUGGAUAUCUGUCUCCUGGAAACUGGACUGAACCCCCCUCCCCAAAAAUAAUUUCAUGUAGGUGUUAAAAUAGCCAAUGGAAAAGUAACAAUUCUAAUGUUCUGGACUGGAUUACAGUUGGCAAUAUACAUGUUGCUUUAUCAUUCCUUUUUAAUAUUCACCUAACUCAAAUUAUAGUCUUAUCUUGUCAUAGCUAAAGUCAUUCGUUUAAUUUAUGCACCCUGGAGGGAGGGAACAUGUCUACAUCUCUGUCUGCACAUCACUUGGCACAACAGGCUCCUGAUGCUGACUAUAGAUAAAUAAUAUAGCAAUAUUAAUAAUUAAUGGAGAAGAGCUUUCUAUUGCCCCAACUCUGCAAAAAAAAUUACACCUUCUGAGGAUAUGGCAUAGUAUAUGUAAUACUACAUUUUUGUGGCCUAAUAUGUGACUUUGAAAGAACAGUUCUGUUUCAAAAUAUCAGCUUGGUUCCAAUGAGAUGUUAACUGAAAUUUAAGGCUCAGUUUAGAUCAUAAAAAUAAUUUUGUGAAUUCUAGAAGUAAAUGUUUUGGUUUUGCAGGCAAGGUUAUUUUUUAGUAUCUAAACAUUAAGAGGGGUGAAAUUUUUUUGUCCAAAUCUUUUUUUUCCAUUGAAAAACGCAGAAUCAGGUUGAUUCAAAUUGAAUUCAACAAAUGGUUUUAAUCUAAAAACAAAACAAAAUGGAAAUGGUGAAACAGUUAAUUUCAGCAUUUUCAAAAUGCAAAAAUUUGACUUCUUAGCACAGAACAAAGUUUUGUUUUGGAAUUUCCCUCAUUUCCCCCCCCCGCAAAAAUUAAAACCAGGUCUAUUCUUAAAAAACAAAAAACCACCAGCCCUCAAAAUCUAAAUGAAACAUUUUGUUUCCAGUUGACCAAAAAACAGUUUUUGUGGUGUGAGAAGUGGGGAGAGGAGUUUGCACCCAAAUUGAAUAUUUAGUUAUUCACAUUGCAUUGUUGGAGAGAGCUAUGUGGCUGAUGCCUAUUGCUGAAUUCUGAGCCAACUGCCUCCAUCUAUACCCUGGGCCUAGAUUACCUUUCCCUACUAAGAAGUUGAUGCUAGGGGUUGGUUUGUUUGUUUUCUACUGACCUUAUUCUAUUUUUUUUAAAUAGUUCCAUAUUUAGCAAGGAAAAUUAAUAUGCAGUCAUGAAAAAUAUCCUGUUUGAUUAUUUAUGAUUAUGGUUUCAGAGUGUGUUUGGUCUGUUUCCAAAACAAAUAGUGACGUUUCAUUCGUUGUGAGUAAAAAUGUAUUAGUAGGUUCCACAACUUUGAGUCAUCCACACUUCAACUUGCACCAGGAAUUUGUGAUCGAUCCUCUUAAAGUUGUCAUCUUAAUGGGCCAUCUUGUAUGUCCAAUAUACUACUAUGCACCACCAAGUUCAUUUUCCAUCUUUUGAGAAGAUUCUUUGCUAUUCACAAGUAAAAUCUUAACUAACAACUUCCUUGAGUUUUAUGCACUUUUCUCAAUUUGCAAAUAAUGAACUAUGACUAACAAAUGAUAUCAUUACCCAUUUUAACUAAAAAAUGUAAUAAAUAAUGUAAUAAAUAAAUCAAACAUGGGAACCAGACACUACAUCAAUAGCAAUAAACAUUUAACUUGUCUUCACUGAACCCGGAAACAAAAAAUAUUAAAAUAGAAAGUGUCCAGUAUAAUAAUGGCUUUACAUAAUUUAAAA